RNAcentral lists this ribosomal RNA (497 nucleotides) under uncultured bacterium. RNAcentral's name for it is "partial 16S ribosomal RNA". It matches the Rfam family "Bacterial small subunit ribosomal RNA", at positions 28 to 507 of the family's 1533-position model. The record is from RNAcentral.
GAUGAACGCUGGCGGCGUGCCUAAUACAUGCAAGUCGAGCGAACGGACGAGAAGCUUGCUUUUCUGAUGUUAGCGGCGGACGGGUGAGUAACACGUGGAUAACCUACCUAUAAGACUGGGAUAACUUCGGGAAACCGGAGCUAAUACCGGAUAAUAUUUUGAACCGCAUGGUUCAUAAGUGAAAGACGGUCUUGCUGUCACUUAUUGAUGGAUCCGCGCUGCAUUAGCUAGUUGGUAAGGUAACGGCUUACCAAGGCAACGAUGCAUAGCCGACCUGAGAGGGUGAUCGGCCACACUGGAACUGAGACACGGUCCAGACUCCUACGGGAGGCAGCAGUAGGGAAUCUUCCGCAAUGGGCGAAAGCCUGACGGAGCAACGCCGCGUGAGUGAUGAAGGUCUUCGGAUCGUAAAACUCUGUUAUUAGGGAAGAACAUAUGUGUAAGUAACUGUGCACAUCUUGACGGUACCUAAUCAGAAAGCCACGGCUAACUACGUG